GGCUGGCUAGCUCAGUAAGUAGAGCAUGAGACUCUUAAUCUCAGGGUUGUGGGUUUGUGUCCCACGUUGGGCA
This 73-nucleotide transfer RNA is filed under the name Tyto alba (common barn owl). It matches the Rfam family "tRNA". Rfam says of the family: Transfer RNA (tRNA) molecules are approximately 80 nucleotides in length. Their secondary structure includes four short double-helical elements and three loops (D, anti-codon, and T loops). The record is from Rfam by way of RNAcentral. Lineage: Eukaryota; Metazoa; Chordata; Aves; Strigiformes; Tytonidae.